Molecule: ribosomal RNA, 651 nt
Filed under: uncultured Alphaproteobacteria bacterium
Lineage: Bacteria; Pseudomonadati; Pseudomonadota; Alphaproteobacteria
Description: bacterial SSU rRNA
Rfam family: Bacterial small subunit ribosomal RNA
Source: RNAcentral
AAGUCGAGCGGGCCCUUCGGGGUCAGCGGCGGACGGGUGAGUAACGCGUGGGAACGUGCCUUCUGGUUCGGAAUAACCCUGGGAAACUAGGGCUAAUACCGGAUACGCCCUUUUGGGGAAAGGUUUACUGCCGGAAGAUCGGCCCGCGUCUGAUUAGCUAGUUGGUGGGGUAACGGCCUACCAAGGCGACGAUCAGUAGCUGGUCUGAGAGGAUGAUCAGCCACACUGGGACUGAGACACGGCCCAGACUCCUACGGGAGGCAGCAGUGGGGAAUAUUGGACAAUGGGCGCAAGCCUGAUCCAGCCAUGCCGCGUGAGUGAUGAAGGCCUUAGGGUUGUAAAGCUCUUUUAUCCGGGACGAUAAUGACGGUACCGGAGGAAUAAGCCCCGGCUAACUUCGUGCCAGCAGCCGCGGUAAUACGAAGGGGGCUAGCGUUGCUCGGAAUCACUGGGCGUAAAGGGCGCGUAGGCGGCGUUUUAAGUCGGGGGUGAAAGCCUGUGGCUCAACCACAGAAUGGCCUUCGAUACUGGGACGCUUGAGUAUGGUAGAGGUUGGUGGAACUGCGAGUGUAGAGGUGAAAUUCGUAGAUAUUCGCAAGAACACCGGUGGCGAAGGCGGCCAACUGGACCAAUACUGACGCUGAGGCGCGA